Molecule: ribosomal RNA, 301 nt
Filed under: uncultured bacterium
Lineage: Bacteria
Description: partial 16S ribosomal RNA
Rfam family: Bacterial small subunit ribosomal RNA
Source: RNAcentral
CAGUCGCCGCGGGAAUACAGAGGGUGCGAGCGUUAAUCGGAUUUACUGGGCGUAAAGCGUGCGUAGGCGGCUAAUUGAGUCGGAUGUGAAAUCCCCGAGCUUAACUUGGGAAUUGCAUUCGAUACUGGUUAGCUAGAGUGUGGGAGAGGAUGGUAGAAUUCCAGGUGUAGCGGUGAAAUGCGUAGAGAUCUGGAGGAAUACCGAUGGCGAAGGCAGCCAUCUGGCCUAACACUGACGCUGAGGUACGAAAGCAUGGGGAGCAAACAGGAUUAGAUACCCCUGUAGUCCCUGUCUCUUAUAC